RNAcentral lists this long non-coding RNA (325 nucleotides) under Elaeis guineensis (African oil palm). RNAcentral's name for it is "long non-coding RNA (EGUI_LNC078513)". Lineage: Eukaryota; Viridiplantae; Streptophyta; Magnoliopsida; Arecales; Arecaceae. The record is from RNAcentral.
GUACUUGAGUCAAACUCAAUUUAAUUCUAAUCCAAUUAGGAUUUGGUGCACCCAAGAGAAUGAGAAUUUUUAGUCUAAAUAAGAUUUCAAAUAUUCUUGUUUAGAUUCUAAUCUAAUUAGGUGUUGGGUAUAAAAUACCCCCAGUCGAAGUUUGUGAAAGGCCGACCCUUCCAGGGCUUUUCCGACUUCCGACCAUGUGUGGCGUCUUUCUGAACUCCCUCGACCGUCUGAGCUUCCAUAAUGGCAUCUGGGCUUCUCCAAUCAUGAGGUUCUCCAUUCAUCUACCGGAUUACUCCAAACACCCUCUGAACUCUGCUAUCAGCCG